CCUACGGGUGGCAGCAGUGAGGAAUAUUGGUCAAUGGACGAGAGUCUGAACCAGCCAAGUAGCGUGAAGGAUGACUGCCCUUUGGGUUGUAAACUUCUUUUAUAAAGGAAUAAAACGAGGCACGUGUGCCUUUUUGCAUGUACUUUAUGAAUAAGGAUCGGCUAACUCCGUGCCAGCAGCCGCGGUAAUACGGAGGAUCCGAGCGUUAUCCGGAUUUAUUGGGUUUAAAGGGAGCGUAGAUGGGUUGUUAAGUCAGUUGUGAAAGUUUGCGGCUCAACCGUAAAAUUGCAAUUGAUACUGGCAGUCGUGAGUACAGUUGAGGUAGGCGGAAUUCGUGGUGUAGCGGUGAAAUGCUUAGAUAUCACGAAGAACCCCGAUUGCGAAGGCAGCUUACUAAACUGUGACUGACAUUGAUGCUCGAAAGUGUGGGUAUCAAACAGGAUUAGAUACCCCUGUAGUC
RNAcentral lists this ribosomal RNA (460 nucleotides) under uncultured bacterium. Its description in RNAcentral is "partial 16S ribosomal RNA". It matches the Rfam family "Bacterial small subunit ribosomal RNA", at positions 338 to 795 of the family's 1533-position model. The record is from RNAcentral.